RNAcentral lists this ribosomal RNA (352 nucleotides) under uncultured bacterium. RNAcentral's name for it is "bacterial SSU rRNA". It matches the Rfam family "Bacterial small subunit ribosomal RNA", at positions 917 to 1269 of the family's 1533-position model. The record is from RNAcentral.
GGGCCCGCACAAGCGGUGGAGUAUGUGGUUUAAUUCGAUGCAACGCGAAGAACCUUACCAGGGUUUGACAUCCUGCGAAUCUCUUGGAAACGAGAGAGUGCCUUCGGGAACGCAGUGACAGGUGGUGCAUGGCUGUCGUCAGCUCGUGUCGUGAGAUGUUGGGUUAAGUCCCGCAACGAGCGCAACCCACGUCUUUAGUUGCCAUCAGUUCGGCUGGGCACUCUAAGGAAACUGCCGGUGAUAAGCUGGAGGAAGGUGGGGAUGACGUCAAGUCCUCAUGGCCCUUACGGGCUGGGCUACACACGUGCUACAAUGGCGGUUACAAUGGGACGCGAAUGGGCAACCUGGAGCU